Molecule: small nucleolar RNA, 107 nt
Organism: Gossypium raimondii (Peruvian cotton)
Lineage: Eukaryota; Viridiplantae; Streptophyta; Magnoliopsida; Malvales; Malvaceae
Rfam family: Plant small nucleolar RNA R71
About the family: R71 is a member of the C/D box family of snoRNAs containing the C (UGAUGA) and D (CUGA) box motifs.
Source: Rfam
AUUCUAGGAUGAGGGCAUCUUCGUAAUAGUUCUUUAAACCUUUCCCAUGCUUCAUACAAGGACUCGUCAUCCAUCUAUUGGAAGGCAGUAAUCUCGUUCCUUAACUU